ACCGCCCACUUCUACAGCUGAUUGAAGUAAACUGCUGUGAAUGCAUUGAUGAGUAAAAUACUAUUUUUUGGUUGUUGAAGAAAAACUCAAAAGUGUGUGAAAUGCAUUAAAUGUGCGUAUUUUUUGUUAUUAGCCAGAAGAGAAACAAUGAGGCAUUAUCUUGUAGAGAAUAAAAAGACAUGGAAGGGUUAACCCCAAAACGUGCAGUAGUGUGUGGUCGUGUUCAGUAUGGAAUAAACGAUCUGAAAAGGAGUGAAACAGUGCGCUAACGUCCUGAAUGUGUCCACUAAGAACAGAUAUUUUGUUAUCGGUUGCAAACGGAACGAAAUGGGGAGGGACCUACCUGAAUUUGUCCAAUAUAAACUAUAGUUUGCGUUUGGCGUAAACGCAACAGAAUCGGUAUAAUGAUUACACCCCAGCACAAUCCCCAGUAUAUUUGUUAUGAUGCGAAGAAAGUACAACAUUUCGACAGUGCCCUGUCUAACCCGGGGCUGCAUGGCCAGUUUGUGGAGCUGAACGAGGCCUACAGGGUGCUGAGUAAGGAGGUGUCCCGGAGAGAGUACGACCUGCAGCUACGGCACCCUUUUACCGGGGGACAGUCCUUCAGACCCACCUCCACACAACCCCAGAGAGUAUGCGCUACCAGGAUCAGUUCAAACCCUGUCAACCUGAGGAGUGGGGGAGGAAGAUGAACUUUAGAAUAAUUAGCUACUGUAUGCUCAUCAUGUGACUGAGCUUCUCUUCAGGUCUCUCUCUUCCGGUCACACAGACAGUUAGAGUCUGUCCAUAACAACCAGACGGACGAGAAGAACAGGUCAUCAAGCAGAUCUACAAUGAGGGCACGGUGUGGGAAAGAAGUCAUAAACAUAUUGCAUGGAUUAUAACUUAUUACGUCUUUUAUUACACUGUUCUAGUUAGGUUAGUAGUAAUAAUCCACAUUGCAUGGAAUAUGUAUUGACAUGAUUUGUUGGUGUGAAAUACCUGAGGCUGGAACUGAUUUAUAUAUUUCUUCAUUUUGAUUCACAGAGUGAACGGGUUUAAGAAGCAGACAGAGAUUCUCAGACAGAAUUCUCAGGAGAAAUACAAAAUCACUUGCAACAAGUAGGAGUUUAGUAGAAUACGAGCACAUCGUAAAACAAGGGGGAUUGAUUUGGCCGAACACCUCGGAAGAGGAAUGGAGUCAUUCAGGAAGGGGAGUGAACGGUUGAUUGAGCUAGGAGUAGUUAACUUUUUCAGUGAUUUGUGGCAGACGUUGAUGAUGUGCACAGUUCUCGUUUGCUUGGACCUUGGAUACUAAGCCAAGGAGUUAAAAAACAAGUGUGUAAUACCUGGGUGAAACGGAGACAGUAAUGGGGUACAUGUCUUUGUCACAGUAAAGCCUCGCCCCACAGCCAUUCUAGGUUUCUCCAGGAGGAGAAUACGUUGUGGAGGUUUGGUCUGGUAUCACAAGACUAACAGCAGUAGGUCAUUAGCAGCACAUCUCUUCCGCUAUUGGAUGGAACCAAGACUCCUGUUAGCCAGUUGCGAAUUGGUUUGCAUACCCGUGACAUGCUGUUUCCCCCACGGCCGUUCAGAGGCAGUCUCAACAAGACUGUGUGAAUUUGCCCACUGGAGAUGGGGCAUUCCAGAUAUUGUAAACUUCAGUGUUCCGUAAUGUAAGUCUAUGGUUCCGUAAUGUAAGCCUAUGGUUCCGUAAUGUAAGUCUAUGGUUCCGUAAUGUAAGUCUAUGGUUCCAUAAUGUAAGUCUAUGGUUCCGUAAUGUAAGUCUAUGGUUCCGUAAUGUAA
This is a long non-coding RNA of Oncorhynchus masou masou (cherry salmon), 1785 nucleotides long. RefSeq lists it as uncharacterized. The transcript has 4 exons. The record is from RefSeq and is a predicted model, not a curated record. NCBI's taxonomy places the organism in Eukaryota, Metazoa, Chordata, Actinopteri, Salmoniformes, Salmonidae.